RNAcentral lists this ribosomal RNA (253 nucleotides) under uncultured bacterium. RNAcentral describes it as "partial 16S ribosomal RNA". It matches the Rfam family "Bacterial small subunit ribosomal RNA", at positions 524 to 776 of the family's 1533-position model. The record is from RNAcentral.
UACAGAGGGUGCGAGCGUUAAUCGGAAUUACUGGGCGUAAAGCGCACGUAGGCGGCUUCUUAAGUCAGGGGUGAAAUCCUGGAGCUCAACUCCAGAACUGCCUUUGAUACUGAGGAGCUUGAGUCCGGGAGAGGUGAGUGGAACUGCGAGUGUAGAGGUGAAAUUCGUAGAUAUUCGCAAGAACACCAGUGGCGAAGGCGGCUCACUGGCCCGGUACUGACGCUGAGGUGCGAAAGCGUGGGGAGCAAACCGG